Molecule: unclassified non-coding RNA, 542 nt
Filed under: Lamyropsis microcephala
Lineage: Eukaryota; Viridiplantae; Streptophyta; Magnoliopsida; Asterales; Asteraceae
Description: partial external transcribed spacer
Source: RNAcentral
GGCUUUUGGUUGCUUGCUUGGCCUUCGUGCUUUGCGGGUCGCUACUAGUCGAUCAGCUUUCGGGAAUGUCGACCGUAAAGGUGCAUGAGUGGUGUUUGGUUUGUUACGGGUGGUUGGCUGUUUGCUAGCGCAACAACGUCCACGUGUGCUUACCUUUUCAGUUUUGCAGCAAGGCUAGCUUUGUCUUGUGCGGUUUGUGGGUUUUCUGUGUUGCAUACCUAAUCGAUGGUAACUUGUGGGUUUAUGGAUGUCCCUAUUCGUCAUACGUUGCUCAUGCAGCGUGAGAUGAACCUUGAAGCUGGCUUUGUGGUCCACCUUGUUGGUGCAUUUGCGUUGACGUUGUGGCCCUUGAAGCAUAGCUUGGUUUCUUGUAUACGGAACCUGAUGUGGGCAUGGGUCUUUCAAGAUCUUGCAUCUGCCCUCGUUAAGCGUUCUCGCUUCUCCAAAACGAUUGCCCGUCACUACUCCUCGGCUUGUCCUUGUGUGGCGGGUUGCGUCGAAGAGGAAUGCUACCUGGUUGAUCCUGCCAGUAGUCAUAUGCU